CCUACGGGAGGCAGCAGUGGGGAAUAUUGCUCAAUGGGGGAAACCCUGAAGCAGCAACGCCGCGUGGAGGAUGAAGGUUUUCGGAGUGUAAACCCCUUUUGGCAGAGAAGAUAAUGACGGUAUCUAACGAAUAAGCACCGGCUACUUCCGUGCCAGCAGCCGCGGUACUAAGGAGGGGGCAAGCGUUAUUCGGAACCACUGGGCGUAAAAAGCGGGGAGGCGGGACAGCAAGUCAGAUGUGAAAUCCUAGGGCUUAACCAUCGUACUGCAUUUGAACCGGGUCUUCUUGAGUGGGGGAGAGGUAUGUGGAAUUCUUGGUGUAGCGGUAAAAUGCGUAGAUAUCAAGAGGAACACCCAUUGCGAAGGCGACCUGCUGGACCAUAACUGACGCUGAUGCUCGAAAGCGUGGGGAGCGAACAGGAUUAGAUACCCUUGUAGUC
RNAcentral lists this ribosomal RNA (440 nucleotides) under uncultured bacterium. Its description in RNAcentral is "partial 16S ribosomal RNA". It matches the Rfam family "Bacterial small subunit ribosomal RNA", at positions 338 to 795 of the family's 1533-position model. The record is from RNAcentral.